GUGAGUUCCUCCUGGCCAGUGAUUCCGCUGUCUUCAAGAACUCCACCAUCUUUACUUACUUCAGUUCCGAAUUCUCCCUAGAACGCAGUGUUUUGUUGAUUUGAGAAUUUUGGGGAAUGUUGUGAUUGUUUCUGGGGAAAUUGGGGGCAGUUUGGAAUUUUGACAAACAAGUACUACCCAGGGGGUGUUUCAGCAGCGGCCCUGCCUCGCCCUCGCUCAGUCCAGCAGCCUCCAAAGUUUCUGGAGGACUAGAGAAGAGAACAGCCUUUUUCGGGGCAUUGGGUCCCGGGAUGCAAAGAAUUAGGAAACAGGGCUUGCCCCUAACGGUGGUAAUGGAGCACAGGGGAAGUUCUUAAAUGAUGGCAACUGCUGGCCCAGCCUAAUAGCCUACACAUGAGAGAGAUUACAACUGCCAGUCUCACCAGUUCACAGGUGAGGACAUGGAAGAAUGAGUGGGAAGGAGGAGUCAAGGCCUUGGUGAUUUCCACCUCCACGUGGUCUGGACCACAUUCUUCCCUAGAAGUGUUGCUUCCCUCUGCAUAUCACAGUCUGCCGUAACUGGAGAAAAGGAGAACACAGCAGAUCAGGUUAAUCACCUGGAAGACUGGGAAAUCCAAAUUCACUCCAGCCCACGCAAGCUAGGUAACUGCACCAGUCAGACCUGUUGGGGAUCCAGGGACCAGCCUGCACAUCGAUGUGUGGCAACCAGAGAGCUGUUCUGAAGAUUAAAAGGAGACCUCCAUCUAUGUGGGAAGUAUUGCUGCUAUCGGAAUGUUUUCGUAUACAAUCAUCCCCUGCAUAGCGAUGUUUCCGUCACUUAUGGACUGAAUGUAUGACGGCGGUUCCAUAAGGGUUCACAGGUUUGGAUCCCCAGCACAGACCAAGCACCGCUCGUCAAGCCAUGCUGUGGAGGCAUCCCACACAAAAAAGAGGAAGAUUGGCAACAGAGGUUAGCUCAGGGCCAAUCUUCCUCACAAAAAAAAAAAAAGAAAGAAAAGGAAAGAAAAAAGAAAUGGAACUUUGGAGGUAUCCUAUCCAGCAAUUCUUCCAGUGUUUGGCCUUGGCCCAUCUAACUCUUGGCUUUCCCUUUUCUGAUGCACUGUAUGUUUUACUACUAAAUCUUAUUAAAAAUAUUGUUUUGGCCUGUCAGGAUCAGGUCAUCAAGAGGGAUUUCUUUCUCCCCCACUUCUUUCUUUCUUUUAGCGGGGAGAAGUCCAAAUUGAAGCUUACCUUCCAGGUCCUUCACAACACGUUCGUUUUCAGUCUUCCCUCCAGAGGCUCACCUGCACCCUCUGGUCCAGUCAAAUUGCUUAACCCUCUGUGCACUGGAUUUUCUCACCUUUGCGUUUUGAUUGGCACCAUGAAAUACUUCCCCUUUUUAUUCUGCCAAUCACUGUCCUAUUCAUCUUUGAAAACAUGAUUUUAUCCCUCUCUGUGAAGCCUUCCCAGGUCUUUCUGAUCCACGGUAAUUCCUGUGACUUUGUAUUCUAAUAGCAUUUAGUUUACCCCACGCACAGAAC
RNAcentral lists this long non-coding RNA (1520 nucleotides) under Equus caballus (horse). RNAcentral describes it as "lncRNA (ENSECAG00000029802.3)". The record is from RNAcentral. Lineage: Eukaryota; Metazoa; Chordata; Mammalia; Perissodactyla; Equidae.